RNAcentral lists this ribosomal RNA (2904 nucleotides) under Escherichia coli. RNAcentral describes it as "23S ribosomal RNA". It matches the Rfam family "Bacterial large subunit ribosomal RNA". Lineage: Bacteria; Pseudomonadati; Pseudomonadota; Gammaproteobacteria; Enterobacterales; Enterobacteriaceae. The record is from RNAcentral.
GGUUAAGCGACUAAGCGUACACGGUGGAUGCCCUGGCAGUCAGAGGCGAUGAAGGACGUGCUAAUCUGCGAUAAGCGUCGGUAAGGUGAUAUGAACCGUUAUAACCGGCGAUUUCCGAAUGGGGAAACCCAGUGUGUUUCGACACACUAUCAUUAACUGAAUCCAUAGGUUAAUGAGGCGAACCGGGGGAACUGAAACAUCUAAGUACCCCGAGGAAAAGAAAUCAACCGAGAUUCCCCCAGUAGCGGCGAGCGAACGGGGAGGAGCCCAGAGCCUGAAUCAGUGUGUGUGUUAGUGGAAGCGUCUGGAAAGGCGCGCGAUACAGGGUGACAGCCCCGUACACAAAAAUGCACAUGCUGUGAGCUCGAUGAGUAGGGCGGGACACGUGGUAUCCUGUCUGAAUAUGGGGGGACCAUCCUCCAAGGCUAAAUACUCCUGACUGACCGAUAGUGAACCAGUACCGUGAGGGAAAGGCGAAAAGAACCCCGGCGAGGGGAGUGAAAAAGAACCUGAAACCGUGUACGUACAAGCAGUGGGAGCACGCUUAGGCGUGUGACUGCGUACCUUUUGUAUAAUGGGUCAGCGACUUAUAUUCUGUAGCAAGGUUAACCGAAUAGGGGAGCCGAAGGGAAACCGAGUCUUAACUGGGCGUUAAGUUGCAGGGUAUAGACCCGAAACCCGGUGAUCUAGCCAUGGGCAGGUUGAAGGUUGGGUAACACUAACUGGAGGACCGAACCGACUAAUGUUGAAAAAUUAGCGGAUGACUUGUGGCUGGGGGUGAAAGGCCAAUCAAACCGGGAGAUAGCUGGUUCUCCCCGAAAGCUAUUUAGGUAGCGCCUCGUGAAUUCAUCUCCGGGGGUAGAGCACUGUUUCGGCAAGGGGGUCAUCCCGACUUACCAACCCGAUGCAAACUGCGAAUACCGGAGAAUGUUAUCACGGGAGACACACGGCGGGUGCUAACGUCCGUCGUGAAGAGGGAAACAACCCAGACCGCCAGCUAAGGUCCCAAAGUCAUGGUUAAGUGGGAAACGAUGUGGGAAGGCCCAGACAGCCAGGAUGUUGGCUUAGAAGCAGCCAUCAUUUAAAGAAAGCGUAAUAGCUCACUGGUCGAGUCGGCCUGCGCGGAAGAUGUAACGGGGCUAAACCAUGCACCGAAGCUGCGGCAGCGACGCUUAUGCGUUGUUGGGUAGGGGAGCGUUCUGUAAGCCUGUGAAGGUGUACUGUGAGGUAUGCUGGAGGUAUCAGAAGUGCGAAUGCUGACAUAAGUAACGAUAAAGCGGGUGAAAAGCCCGCUCGCCGGAAGACCAAGGGUUCCUGUCCAACGUUAAUCGGGGCAGGGUGAGUCGACCCCUAAGGCGAGGCCGAAAGGCGUAGUCGAUGGGAAACAGGUUAAUAUUCCUGUACUUGGUGUUACUGCGAAGGGGGGACGGAGAAGGCUAUGUUGGCCGGGCGACGGUUGUCCCGGUUUAAGCGUGUAGGCUGGUUUUCCAGGCAAAUCCGGAAAAUCAAGGCUGAGGCGUGAUGACGAGGCACUACGGUGCUGAAGCAACAAAUGCCCUGCUUCCAGGAAAAGCCUCUAAGCAUCAGGUAACAUCAAAUCGUACCCCAAACCGACACAGGUGGUCAGGUAGAGAAUACCAAGGCGCUUGAGAGAACUCGGGUGAAGGAACUAGGCAAAAUGGUGCCGUAACUUCGGGAGAAGGCACGCUGAUAUGUAGGUGAAGUCCCUCGCGGAUGGAGCUGAAAUCAGUCGAAGAUACCAGCUGGCUGCAACUGUUUAUUAAAAACACAGCACUGUGCAAACACGAAAGUGGACGUAUACGGUGUGACGCCUGCCCGGUGCCGGAAGGUUAAUUGAUGGGGUUAGCGCAAGCGAAGCUCUUGAUCGAAGCCCCGGUAAACGGCGGCCGUAACUAUAACGGUCCUAAGGUAGCGAAAUUCCUUGUCGGGUAAGUUCCGACCUGCACGAAUGGCGUAAUGAUGGCCAGGCUGUCUCCACCCGAGACUCAGUGAAAUUGAACUCGCUGUGAAGAUGCAGUGUACCCGCGGCAAGACGGAAAGACCCCGUGAACCUUUACUAUAGCUUGACACUGAACAUUGAGCCUUGAUGUGUAGGAUAGGUGGGAGGCUUUGAAGUGUGGACGCCAGUCUGCAUGGAGCCGACCUUGAAAUACCACCCUUUAAUGUUUGAUGUUCUAACGUUGACCCGUAAUCCGGGUUGCGGACAGUGUCUGGUGGGUAGUUUGACUGGGGCGGUCUCCUCCUAAAGAGUAACGGAGGAGCACGAAGGUUGGCUAAUCCUGGUCGGACAUCAGGAGGUUAGUGCAAUGGCAUAAGCCAGCUUGACUGCGAGCGUGACGGCGCGAGCAGGUGCGAAAGCAGGUCAUAGUGAUCCGGUGGUUCUGAAUGGAAGGGCCAUCGCUCAACGGAUAAAAGGUACUCCGGGGAUAACAGGCUGAUACCGCCCAAGAGUUCAUAUCGACGGCGGUGUUUGGCACCUCGAUGUCGGCUCAUCACAUCCUGGGGCUGAAGUAGGUCCCAAGGGUAUGGCUGUUCGCCAUUUAAAGUGGUACGCGAGCUGGGUUUAGAACGUCGUGAGACAGUUCGGUCCCUAUCUGCCGUGGGCGCUGGAGAACUGAGGGGGGCUGCUCCUAGUACGAGAGGACCGGAGUGGACGCAUCACUGGUGUUCGGGUUGUCAUGCCAAUGGCACUGCCCGGUAGCUAAAUGCGGAAGAGAUAAGUGCUGAAAGCAUCUAAGCACGAAACUUGCCCCGAGAUGAGUUCUCCCUGACCCUUUAAGGGUCCUGAAGGAACGUUGAAGACGACGACGUUGAUAGGCCGGGUGUGUAAGCGCAGCGAUGCGUUGAGCUAACCGGUACUAAUGAACCGUGAGGCUUAACCUU